UAAACAUUCUGAUAUCUCCACUCCCACAAGAAAGAAAGUGUGGGAUAGAUAUACCACCGACACACCUCAGCCAUCGGGAAAAACCAAUGGAAGUACUCAUUGGAGAAAAACCAACAGCUGAAGUGCACCGGAGGAAGCAGUUGGAUAUUUGGGAUAUUUGGGUCAGUUUAAGUAAUUUAAAUCUUUCUGGACUACUGUUCUAAUUGUUGAUGUUGUAAUGAAUGACAUCACAGUGACAUUAAAAUCUCAUAAGCUUGAUAUCAUCAUGAUGUAAUAAUGAGUGACAUCAAAAAUUUCCACUGUAUGACAUAAUACUGGCUAACAUCUUAGAAUAUCACCCAUGUGUAAUGUCAGUAUAAUGUAGUAAUGAAUGAUGACACAGUGUGGUGUCAUUAUGACAUAACCAUUUCAAUGAAAACAGCACUGAAGGCAAGCAGUGUGCGUUGGACAUUUAUUUUGUGGAGCGCUUUCGGACAUUUGAUGGUCCCUCUUCGGUACAUACAAACAUUACAACUCAAUUGUAAUGUUUGUAUGUACUGGGGAGGGACUGUUAAAGGUCCGAAAGCGUUUUGCAGAGUGAAUGUUUUACGUAUAUUACUUGCUUUUAG
Molecule: long non-coding RNA, 608 nt
Filed under: Androctonus crassicauda
Lineage: Eukaryota; Metazoa; Arthropoda; Arachnida; Scorpiones; Buthidae
Source: RNAcentral